This 271-nucleotide unclassified non-coding RNA is filed under the name Hevea brasiliensis (rubber tree). Lineage: Eukaryota; Viridiplantae; Streptophyta; Magnoliopsida; Malpighiales; Euphorbiaceae. The record is from RNAcentral.
AAAAAAAAAAAAAAAAAGAAAAGUGGUAUAAAAUUUCAAAACCGACUGCACCUAACACUAGUUCUCUCCCAUUAUUUUGCUCAACUGCUAAAUGGGACAGAAUGGACAUAAAGUGAUGCAUGUUCUUGAAAAGUAUUGAUGAUUUUUGGAUGCAAGGAGUUAGAUGUUGUUUUCAAGACUUCAAUAUUAUUGGUCCCAUCAUAGAAAUUGUGAAUUUUGGCUUUGGACCUAAAUAAAGUGAUUGCUUAAUGAUCACGUAGCUAAAUUAUCU